GGCAGUGGAGACUCUCUUACUAUUGUUCAUGGUGGAAUUAAAAGUUGCUUCACACAGAUAAAGCUCACGACUGUUGUUGUAGUCAAUUGGUCGUCAAUCAUUAUUGCUUCAUGGUGCUAUUGCUAGCAGCCAUAAGGAAGAGAGUUUGUCAUGGUCGAUGAAGAGAAGUUAGGUUAUUGUUAGGUGUUAAUGGUGCUACUAUAAGAAUUAAUCAACCGUGUGAGUAAGGAGAAAAUUGGUGACAUUGUUGCACUGGACUGUGUCAAAACUACUUAUGAUGGCUCCAUGAAAAGAUCUAGGGAGGCUUGCUGCUGCUUAUGGU
This 322-nucleotide long non-coding RNA is filed under the name Populus trichocarpa (black cottonwood). Its description in RNAcentral is "long non-coding RNA (PTRI_LNC000727)". The record is from RNAcentral. Lineage: Eukaryota; Viridiplantae; Streptophyta; Magnoliopsida; Malpighiales; Salicaceae.